UACGUAGGGUGCGAGCGUUAAUCGGAAUUACUGGGCGUAAAGCGUGCGCAGGCGGUUCGUUAAGUUCGUUGUGAAAGCCCCGGGCUCAACCUGGGAACUGCAAUGGAAACUGGCGACCUAGAGUGCGGUAGAGGGAAGUGGAAUUUCCGGUGUAGCGGUGAAAUGCGUAGAUAUCGGAAGGAACAUCAGUGGCGAAAGCGACUUCCUGGACCAGUACCGACGUUCAGGCACGAAAGCGUGGGGAGCAAACAGG
RNAcentral lists this ribosomal RNA (253 nucleotides) under uncultured bacterium. Its description in RNAcentral is "partial 16S ribosomal RNA". It matches the Rfam family "Bacterial small subunit ribosomal RNA", at positions 524 to 776 of the family's 1533-position model. The record is from RNAcentral.